UACGUAGGGUGCAAGCGUUCAUCGGAAUUACUGGGCGUAAAGCGUGCGCAGGCGGUAAUGUAAGACAGGUGUGAAAACCACGGGCUCAACCUGGGAACUGCAUCUGUGACUGCAUUGCUGGAGUACGGCAGAGGGGGAUGGAAUUCCGCGUGUAGCAGUGAAAUGCGUAGAUAUGCGGAGGAACACCGAUGGCGAAGGCAAUCCCCUGGGCCGGUACUGAGGCUCAGGCACGAAAGCGUGGGGAGCAAACAGG
Molecule: ribosomal RNA, 253 nt
Filed under: uncultured bacterium
Lineage: Bacteria
Description: partial 16S ribosomal RNA
Rfam family: Bacterial small subunit ribosomal RNA
Source: RNAcentral